This 64-nucleotide transfer RNA is filed under the name Eragrostis curvula (weeping love grass). RNAcentral describes it as "tRNA tRNA-Pro". It matches the Rfam family "tRNA", at positions 5 to 66 of the family's 71-position model. Rfam says of the family: Transfer RNA (tRNA) molecules are approximately 80 nucleotides in length. The record is from RNAcentral. Lineage: Eukaryota; Viridiplantae; Streptophyta; Magnoliopsida; Poales; Poaceae.
GUUUGGUCUAGUGGUAUGGUUCUCGCUUCGGGUGCGAGAGGUCCCGAGUUUGAUUCUCGGAACA